ACCCGGGGUUCUCUGAACUUACGGGAUUGCAAUGAGGACAAUUUAAACCACUUAGCGAGGAACAAUUGGAGGGCAAGUCUGGUGCCAGCAGCCGCGGUAAUUCCAGCUCCAAUAGCGUAUAUUAAAGUUGUUGCAGUUAAAAAGCUUGUAGUUGAACUUCAGGUCGUUUUCAGCUUUGGUCUCGGCCGGGCUGGGAGCGGUCUUCCGUCUGCGAACUGCAUUCGGCCUCCACUGUGUCGGUGCAGGGAGUAGGCAUUUUACUGUGAAAAAAUUAGAGUGUUUCAGGCAGGUCAUUGCCCGGAUACAUUAGCAUGGAACAAUGGAAUAGGAUUCAUGUCCAUUUGAUUGGUUAUUGGACUUGAAUAAUGAUUAAUAGGGACAGUUGGGGGCAUUAGUAUUUAAUAGUCAGAGGUGAAAUUCUUGGAUUUAUUAAAGACUAACUUAUGCGAAAGCAUUGCCAAGGAUGUUUUCAUUAAUCAAGAACGAAAGUUAGGGGAUCAAAUACGAUCAGAUACCGUAGUAGUCUUAACUAUAAACUAUACCGACUCGGGAUCGGACAGAUCUUUAAAGUCUGUUCGGCACCGUAAGAGAAAUCAAAGUCUUUGGGUUCUGGGGGGAGUAUGGUCGCAAGGCUGAAACUUAAAGGAAUUGGCGGAAGAUUACCACCAGGAUUGGAUUCUGCGGCUUAAUUUGACUCAACACGGGGAAACUUACCAGGUCAAAACUGUAGUGGGAUUGACAGAUUGAGAGCUCUUUCUUGAUUUGCAGGGUGGUGGUGCAUGGCCGUUCUUAGUUGGUGGAGUGAUUUGUCUGGUUAAUUCCGUUAACGAACGAGACCUUAACCUGCUAACUAGUCCUGAGUGAACAACGAAAGGCACUUCUUAGAGGGACUAUGCGGUUCUAAACGCAUGGAAGUUUGAGGCAAUAACAGGUCUGUGAUGCCCUUAGAUGUCCUGGGCCGCACGCGCAAUACAAUGACACGUUCAGCAAGUUUUUCCUAACUCGGAAGAGUAAGGUAAUCUUUAUAAUACGUGUCGUGUUAGGGAUCGAUCUUUGUAAUUAUAGAUCUUGAACGAGGAAUUCCUAGUAAGUGCAAGUCAUCAACUUGUACUGAUUACGUCCCUUGUCUUUGUACACACCGCCCGUCGCUCCUACCGAUUUCGAGUGAUCCGGUGAACCUUCUGGACUGAGGCUGCUCUCGAAGCAGUCGCGGGAAGUUAAGUAAACCUUAUCACUUAGAGGAAGGAGAAGUCGUAACAAGGUU
This 1264-nucleotide ribosomal RNA is filed under the name metagenome. RNAcentral describes it as "SSU rRNA". It matches the Rfam family "Eukaryotic small subunit ribosomal RNA", at positions 483 to 1801 of the family's 1831-position model. The record is from RNAcentral.